Molecule: long non-coding RNA, 279 nt
Organism: Mesocricetus auratus (golden hamster)
Lineage: Eukaryota; Metazoa; Chordata; Mammalia; Rodentia; Cricetidae
Exons: 3
Source: RefSeq, a predicted model, not a curated record
GGGCACACCUGUCUGUACUUUUAGCAGGAAACUUAAUGAACUAAGGAGCUAUCCGUACCCCAGCCAUCAAACGCCAUCAGAUCUGAGGGAUAAAGAUGUGAGCAUCAAGAUGUGAUCAGGAGCAGCUGAGAGUUCCUGCCACAAGCCUUUCCUCAACCACCAUGGACUCCAACCCUCCAAAACUAGUUCCUCUCUGCCUGGAAGCCUCAUCUAUGUCUCCUGACUACAAUGUAUAAGACCUCUGAGAUGUGUUCCAAAGACCUAACCCAAGAAUCCACA